GGAAUAUUGGACAAUGGGCGCAAGCCUGAUCCAGCCAUGCCGCGUGAGUGAAGAAGGCCUUAGGGUUGUAAAGCUCUUUCACCCGUGACGAUGAUGACGGUAGCGGGAGAAGAAGCCCCGGCUAACUCCGUGCCAGCAGCCGGGGUAAUACGGCGGGGGCAAGCGUUGUCCGGAAUUACUGGGCGGAAAGGGCGCGUAGGCGGCCCGUCGCGUCAGAUGAGAAAUCCCCGGGCUCGACCUGGGAACUGCAUUUGAUACGGGCGGGCUAGAAUCCGGGAGAGGAUGGUGGAAUUCCCAGUGUAGAGGUGAAAUUCGUAGAUAUUGGGAAGAACACCGAUGGCGAAGGCAGCCAUCUGGACCGGCAUUGACGCUGAGGCGCGAAAGCGUGGGGAGCAAAC
RNAcentral lists this ribosomal RNA (398 nucleotides) under uncultured bacterium. Its description in RNAcentral is "bacterial SSU rRNA". It matches the Rfam family "Bacterial small subunit ribosomal RNA", at positions 358 to 773 of the family's 1533-position model. The record is from RNAcentral.